This is a long non-coding RNA of Gallus gallus (chicken), 823 nucleotides long. The record is from Ensembl. Lineage: Eukaryota; Metazoa; Chordata; Aves; Galliformes; Phasianidae.
CUGCUUUUUGGAACAAACUGACAAACAAACAUUUGCUGCUGGAUCGGUGUAAAAAGUAUGUGCUUGAUUCCUAACCACGAUGGAUUGAAGAGACAAAAGAAAAGAGCAGUGAGUCACGUUUUAUGUACUUUUUCAAUACCUUUUAAAUGCAACCAGUUCUACUUUCACCUUCAUAGUUCAACUAAUAUGGAACUCCAGAACAGAUUUGUUCUCAUGCAGGUGCUGGCAGGACACUUUAUAUUCACUGCAGCAACUGAGAGCACUGCCUGUUCUCACUGUAUCUCCCAGGCCACAAUCGCGGGUGUCAGAUGUGUUUUUGCUAACAAGACUGUGGAACUGGUGAGCAGAGAGCUUUCCCACCCUUCCCUUCUCCCAAGCAUCCGUCAAGCCGCAGUUUCAGAGCAGCCACACCCUUCUUGUUAUUGUUGAAGUCAAAUAUUAAAGGUCUGGCACUGGACUCAUUGACGUUCAGUGUUAGAGCUCCCGAAGCAGUAACAUUCUCAACACUCCUGGAUUUUCUCUAGUCACUUCAGCUCUUCCUGCAAUUUAUCACUGACUCCAUUGGCUGUGAUCUAUAGUUUCUGCCAUUGACAUCAUUGUACCUGAUGAGGCACAUAUGAAGAAUUCUGAACUAAUGGGAUGCCUAUUGGUGACUGACUGUGCUCUUAUAUCUUCGGUUGAGAUGCAGCAUUAAAAAUACUGAGUGCUGAAAAACAAUAAUGUUGGAGGAAUACAAUUGCCAAGUAAAAUAAAACAGAAUUAAACGUAAACUUCCACCAUAGAGCUCCCAUGUGUUGGUAUAUGAGCCUUAGGAGAGGAGUAG